RNAcentral lists this unclassified non-coding RNA (251 nucleotides) under Aureobasidium pullulans. RNAcentral describes it as "sequence contains 5.8S rRNA gene". The stretch from base 1 to 53 matches the Rfam family "5.8S ribosomal RNA", at positions 102 to 154 of the family's 154-position model. The record is from RNAcentral. Lineage: Eukaryota; Fungi; Ascomycota; Dothideomycetes; Dothideales; Saccotheciaceae.
GAACGCACAUUGCGCCCCUUGGUAUUCCGAGGGGCAUGCCUGUUCGAGCGUCAUUACACCACUCAAGCUAUGCUUGGUAUUGGGCGUCGUCCUUAGUUGGGCGCGCCUUAAAGACCUCGGCGAGGCCACUCCGGCUUUAGGCGUAGUAGAAUUUAUUCGAACGUCUGUCAAAGGAGAGGAACUCUGCCGACUGAAACCUUUAUUUUUCUAGGUUGACCUCGGAUCAGGUAGGGAUACCCGCUGAACUUAAG